AGUAACGCGUGGGAGCGUACCUUUUGGUUCGGAACAACACAGGGAAACUUGUGCUAAUACCGGAUAAGCCCUUACGGGGAAAGAUUUAUCGCCGAAAGAUCGGCCCGCGUCUGAUUAGCUAGUUGGUGAGGUAAUGGCUCACCAAGGCGACGAUCAGUAGCUGGUCUGAGAGGAUGAUCAGCCACAUUGGGACUGAGACACGGCCCAAACUCCUACGGGAGGCAGCAGUGGGGAAUAUUGGACAAUGGGGGCAACCCUGAUCCAGCCAUGCCGCGUGAGUGAUGAAGGCCCUAGGGUUGUAAAGCUCUUUUGUGCGGGAAGAUAAUGACGGUACCGCAAGAAUAAGCCCCGGCUAACUUCGUGCCAGCAGCCGCGGUAAUACGAAGGGGGCUAGCGUUGCUCGGAAUCACUGGGCGUAAAGGGUGCGUAGGCGGGUCUUUAAGUCAGGGGUGAAAUCCUGGAGCUCAACUCCAGAACUGCCUUUGAAACUGAAGAUCUUGAGUCCGGGAGAGGUGAGUGGAACUGCGAGUGUAGAGGUGAAAUUCGUAGAUAUUCGCAAGAACACCAGUGGCGAAGGCGGCUCACUGGCCCGGUACUGACGUUGAGGCACGAAAGCGUGGGGAGCAAACAGGAUUAGAUACCUGGUAGUCCACGCCGUAAACGAUGAAUGCCAGCCGUUAGUGGGUUUACUCACUAGUGGCGCAGCUAACGCUUUAAGCAUUCCGCCUGGGGAGUACGGUCGCAAGAUUAAAACUCAAAGGAAUUGACGGGGGCCCGCACAAGCGGUGGAGCAUGUGGUUUAAUUCGACGCAACGCGCAGAACCUUACCAGCCCUUGACAUGUCCAGGACCGGUCGCAGAGAUGUGACCCUCUCUUCGGAGCCUGGAGCACAGGUGCUGCAUGGCUGUCGUCAGCUCGUGUCGUGAGAUGUUGGGUUAAGUCCCGCAACGAGCGCAACCCCCGUCCUUAGUUGCUACCAUUUAGUUGAGCACUCUAAGGAGACUGCCGGUGAUAAGCCGCGAGGAAGGUGGGGAUGACGUCAAGUCCUCAUGGCCCUUACGGGCUGGGCUACACACGUGCUACAAUGGCGGUGACAAUGGGAUGCUAAGGGGCGACCCUUCGCAAAUCUCAAAAAGCCGUCUCAGUUCGGAUUGGGCUCUGCAACUCGAGCCCAUGAAGUUGGAAUCGCUAGUAA
RNAcentral lists this ribosomal RNA (1195 nucleotides) under Bradyrhizobium sp. WBOS7. RNAcentral describes it as "bacterial SSU rRNA". It matches the Rfam family "Bacterial small subunit ribosomal RNA", at positions 109 to 1341 of the family's 1533-position model. The record is from RNAcentral. Lineage: Bacteria; Pseudomonadati; Pseudomonadota; Alphaproteobacteria; Hyphomicrobiales; Nitrobacteraceae.